Molecule: ribosomal RNA, 440 nt
Filed under: uncultured bacterium
Lineage: Bacteria
Description: bacterial SSU rRNA
Rfam family: Bacterial small subunit ribosomal RNA
Source: RNAcentral
CCUACGGGGGGCAGCAGUGGGGAAUAUUGCACAAUGGGGGAAACCCUAAUCCAGAACGGCCGGGUGAGCGAUAAAGCCCUCCGGGCGGUAAACCCCUUCCCUAGGGGAGAAAUACUAACGUUACCUUGGGAGGAGCCCCCGGCUAACACCGUGCCGGCAGCGGCGGUAAUACGAAGGGGGCUAGCGUUAUCCGGAAUUACUGGGCGUAAAGGGUGCGUAGGCGGCCCUUCAAGUCAGAGGUGAAAGGCUACGGCUCAACCGUAGUAAGCCUUUGAAACUGUAGGGCUUGAGUGCAGGAGAGGAGAGUGGAAUUCCCAGUGUAGCGGUGAAAUGCGUAGAUAUUGGGAGGAACACCAGUUGCGAAGGCGGCUCUCUGGACUGUAACUGACGCUGAGGCACGAAAGCGUGGGGAGCGAACAGGAUUAGAUACCCGAGUAGUC